GUCAGGAUGGCCGAGUGGUCUAAGGCGCCAGACUCAAGCGGCAGCUUCCCACCUUGGGCGUUCUGGUCUCCGAAUGGAGGCGUGGGUUCGAAUCCCACUUCUGACA
This is a non-coding RNA of Sus scrofa (pig), 106 nucleotides long. NCBI's taxonomy places the organism in Eukaryota, Metazoa, Chordata, Mammalia, Artiodactyla, Suidae. The record is from Rfam.